GACGAACGCUGGCGGCGUGCUUAACACAUGCAAGUCGAACGAUGAUGCCAGCUUGCUGGUGGAUUAGUGGCGAACGGGUGAGUAACACGUGAGCAACCUGCCCCUGACUUCGGGAUAACCGCGGGAAACCGUGGCUAAUACCGGAUAUGACGCGCUAUCGCAUGGUGGUGUGUGGAAAGAUUUAUCGGUUGGGGAUGGGCUCGCGGCCUAUCAGCUUGUUGGUGGGGUGAUGGCCUACCAAGGCGGCGACGGGUAGCCGGCCUGAGAGGGUGACCGGCCACACUGGGACUGAGACACGGCCCAGACUCCUACGGGAGGCAGCAGUGGGGAAUAUUGCACAAUGGGCGCAAGCCUGAUGCAGCGACGCCGCGUGAGGGAUGACGGCCUUCGGGUUGUAAACCUCUUUCAGUAGGGAAGAAGGCCUUCGGGUUGACGGUACCUGCAGAAGAAGCGCCGGCUAACUACGUG
Molecule: ribosomal RNA, 468 nt
Filed under: uncultured bacterium
Lineage: Bacteria
Description: partial 16S ribosomal RNA
Rfam family: Bacterial small subunit ribosomal RNA
Source: RNAcentral